CGUAAAAACCAACAUUUCCAAGACAAAACCACACUAUUGAGUCUAACAGUUUACGAAGAAAACAGAAAUGUCACAUUAAAACCGAGUGUUGUUCGUUCAUGAGCCGAAAUUCAAGUCAAGCCGCGUUGGGAUUAACCCGCGCGGAAAGUAUGGCCAAGAGAACGUUUCCGGCAUGCGACUGUAUUGGUUUUGAAAAGAGACGGAAAAUCAUUCUUACAAAGGAUUUAACGUGGAAAUGAAUUCCGAUUUUCCGAGAAGCUAAAUGCUGAUUGAAGCGCAGCAGACAGCUAACGUUUUGCAAACGAUUCCAUACGGCAGAACAACGUCUUUUGUUCAAGAGCAAAAUCAGCGUAGUUUCAUCAUGAAGAACAAGUAAACCCUCACCACAGUACACCAUAUUAAUUAACGAAAUACACAGUAGAACUGAACGUCAUACCGUCACAUUUUAGUGCUAUCAGACUGAAAGCUAGGGGUCCAGUCAUAGCUGAAGAUCUCUGUUGCAUGCUACGUGUCCAGCAGGAACUAUCAUGAAAAAAAAUAUUGAGAUAUUCGUCACCUACGAGCAGCGAUAGAAGUAGUGUUAGCUUUAAAAGAGAGACAGAAGCACAACAAACAGCCUUUUUGAUAACAAUAUGGAUAAUUCUCACCCCUUACAGACAAAAUUGUCUUCUAAAAGAUUGAAAGAAAAUUGCAAACUCACGGAAAGAUUAUAACAAUUUUGAUACCGUCUAUGUAAAAUAUAACGAGGAAUUGGUAGAGGAGUUAAUAACAUUCCCUCUAUUUGGAACGUAAUAAAUAGUUCUUGAUCACAACUCAA
Molecule: long non-coding RNA, 817 nt
Organism: Pocillopora damicornis (cauliflower coral)
Lineage: Eukaryota; Metazoa; Cnidaria; Anthozoa; Scleractinia; Pocilloporidae
Source: RefSeq, a predicted model, not a curated record